CUACGGGAGGCAGCAGUUAGGAAUCUUGCGCAAUGGACGAAAGUCUGACGCAGCGACGCCGCGUGCGGGAUGACGGCCCUCGGGUUGUAAACCGCUUUCAGCAGGGACGAAAUUGACGGUACCUGCAGAAGAAGCCCCGGCCAACUACGUGCCAGCAGCCGCGGUAAUACGUAGGGGGCAAGCGUUGUCCGGAUUUAUUGGGCGUAAAGAGCUCGUAGGUGGUUCGGUAAGUCGGAUGUGAAAUCUCCAGGCUCAACCUGGAGGGGUCAUUCGAUACUGCCGUGACUAGAGUUCGGUAGGGGAGUGUGGAAUUCCUGGUGGAGCGGUGAAAUGCGCAGAUAUCAGGAGGAACACCCGUAGCGAAGGCGGCACUCUGGGCCGAUACUGACACUGAGGAGCGAAAGCGUGGGGAGCGAACAGGAUUAGAUACCCGCGUAGUCCA
This 442-nucleotide ribosomal RNA is filed under the name uncultured bacterium. Its description in RNAcentral is "bacterial SSU rRNA". It matches the Rfam family "Bacterial small subunit ribosomal RNA", at positions 339 to 797 of the family's 1533-position model. The record is from RNAcentral.